Molecule: long non-coding RNA, 366 nt
Organism: Nilaparvata lugens (brown planthopper)
Lineage: Eukaryota; Metazoa; Arthropoda; Insecta; Hemiptera; Delphacidae
Exons: 3
Source: RefSeq, a predicted model, not a curated record
ACAAACAUAUUUAAUAGUCAUUGAACAAGAUCAAAAUGUAAUCUAUAUGCAUCUUCUAUUAUCUCAAUAGAGUUUAUUGAAGUAGGGCAAGUAGCCCGUUGCAUUUAAGGAGUUGAUGGAGGAGUAGAAUUUGGUCAGAAUAUUGAAUAAUACACGUUACCUAUUAUCUUGUAGUGAACAACUACAAGACUUAACCUAUUUUGGACUAUGUAUCUAACCUUAACUAAAUCUGGGAGAGGAAUAUAGCACAAGAGAAUAACAGGCUGAUUGAGCUAUGGUUGAAACUUUCUGCUGGGUCUAUCUUGCUAGUUUAUGGCUGGAGAUCACCGUAUCAAGUAUCAGGCACCAAAAUAUAUCACAAAGGCC